RNAcentral lists this ribosomal RNA (506 nucleotides) under uncultured bacterium. RNAcentral describes it as "partial 16S ribosomal RNA". It matches the Rfam family "Bacterial small subunit ribosomal RNA", at positions 28 to 507 of the family's 1533-position model. The record is from RNAcentral.
GACGAACGCUGGCGGCGUGCUUAACACAUGCCAGUCGAACGGUGAAGGGACUGGUUUUGCUGGUCCUGGAUGAGUGGCGAACGGGUGAGUAACACGUGAGUAACCUGCCCCCUUCUUCUGGAUAACCGCAUGAAAGUGUGGCUAAUACGGGAUAUUCUGGGUCUGUCGCAUGGUGGGCCUGGGAAAGAUUGCGCCUUUUUUGGUGUUUUUGGUGGGGGAUGGGCUCGCGGCCUAUCAGCCUGUUGGUGGGGUGAUGGCCUACCAAGGCGGUGACGGGUAGCCGGCCUGAGAGGGUGGACGGUCACACUGGGACUGAGACACGGCCCAGACUCCUACGGGAGGCAGCAGUGGGGAAUAUUGCACAAUGGGCGCAAGCCUGAUGCAGCGACCCCGCGUGAGGGAUGGAGGCCUUCGGGUUGUGAACCUCUUUCGCCAGUGAAGCAGGCCUGCCUCUUUUUGUGGGUGGGUUGACGGUAGCUGGAUAAGAAGCGCCGGCUAACUACGUG